ACAGCCCCCAAAAAGUUUUUUCGGGCCCCGGGUGUAAACUGCUUUUGUACGGGAAGAAACACUCCUUCGUGAAGGAGCUUGACGGUACCGUAAGAAUAAGGAUCGGCUAACUCCGUGCCAGCAGCCGCGGUAAUACGGAGGAUCCAAGCGUUAUCCGGAAUCAUUGGGUUUAAAGGGUCCGUAGGCGGUUUGAUAAGUCAGUGGUGAAAGCCCAUCGCUCAACGAUGGAACGGCCAUUGAUACUGUCAGACUUGAAUUACUAGGAAGUAACUAGAAUAUGUAGUGUAGCGGUGAAAUGCUUAGAUAUUACAUGGAAUACCAAUUGCGAAGGCAGGUUACUACUAGUGGAUUGACGCUGAUGGACGAAAGCGUGGGGAGCGAACAGGAUUAGAUACCCUGGUAGUCCACGCCGUAAACGAUGGAUACUAGCUGUUGGGAGUAAUCUCAGUGGCUAAGCGAAAGUGAUAAGUAUCCCACCUGGGGAGUACGUUCGCAAGAAUGAAACUCAAAGGAAUUGACGGA
RNAcentral lists this ribosomal RNA (522 nucleotides) under Bacteroidetes bacterium Ana1. Its description in RNAcentral is "bacterial SSU rRNA". It matches the Rfam family "Bacterial small subunit ribosomal RNA", at positions 410 to 917 of the family's 1533-position model. The record is from RNAcentral. Lineage: Bacteria; Pseudomonadati; Bacteroidota.